This 254-nucleotide ribosomal RNA is filed under the name uncultured bacterium. Its description in RNAcentral is "partial small subunit ribosomal RNA". It matches the Rfam family "Bacterial small subunit ribosomal RNA", at positions 26 to 287 of the family's 1533-position model. The record is from RNAcentral.
AGGACGAACGCUGGCGGCGUGCUUAACACAUGCAAGUGGAGCGACGAACCAGGGCUUGCCCUGGGGCAGAGCCGCGAACGGGUGAGUAACACGUGGGUUACCUGCCUUGAUGACCGGGACAACCCGAGGAAACUCGGGCUAAUACCGGAUGUGCCCGCAAGGGGAAAGGAAGCUUCGGCCUCCGCAUCAAGAUGGGCCCGCGGCCCAUUAGCUUGUUGGUGAGGUAACGGCUCACCAAGGCUUCGAUGGGUAGC